AUUCCCAGCACUAUUAACAGAGAUUGAUUGAAGAAUGAGAUUUGACAUGCAUUUUGAUGGUAACAGUUGUUAAGUCAGAGGUGCAUUAUUUCUGGACAGGUGACCUCUAAGGCAGCACACAGACCAUCACAAUGGUCUAUGAUGGUGGUUUAAGGUGAUUGACAGCAACCAAAGAAGAAACAUCAUAAAUGGAUUUGGUGCCAGAGACCUGCUGAGAAGAAAUUAGAUAACAGAGAUAAUAGAAGCCAAGCAGUAACAGAAAAUGUUCCCUCUGGACUUCAGUAACAUCCACUACGUGUGUCUCACACUUCUCAAUGCUCUGUCUCUCUGCCAGUGACUGUGUUUUUAUCUAGGCAUCCUCAAGCACAUCAUACAUGCUGUACAGUUUUCUAACUUAUCUGAUUCCUGAUCAUACUGCUCAUUGCCCAAUGGUAUAGAUUCUUGCUAAUUACUGCACUGGUCUCUUGUCUCAAUGCUGGAUUUCCUAUGCUAUUUCUUUCUUUGCAACCAGAAUGCUAAAAAUAGCCAUUCUUAAAGUGUAGCACAUCAAUUAUUGAAAUAUCAUUGCAGCUCUUUUUGUAGUAUUAGCUUCAGAAACUAUUCCUUAGAUAUAAUAAUAUAAAUUAAACACACUUAAAAAUAGGUUUUACAACAUUAUUUAUUUAUUUGUUUAAUAUCCUAAUGUAGGUAUAGUUUUCUGUCCCAUUGUCUCACAUAUUUCCCUAGUAUUUAUUUUGGCAAACAUUUCUAUUAC
Molecule: long non-coding RNA, 754 nt
Organism: Xenopus tropicalis (tropical clawed frog)
Lineage: Eukaryota; Metazoa; Chordata; Amphibia; Anura; Pipidae
Exons: 4
Source: RefSeq, a predicted model, not a curated record